This 750-nucleotide ribosomal RNA is filed under the name Chryseomicrobium imtechense. Its description in RNAcentral is "bacterial SSU rRNA". It matches the Rfam family "Bacterial small subunit ribosomal RNA", at positions 81 to 834 of the family's 1533-position model. The record is from RNAcentral. Lineage: Bacteria; Bacillati; Bacillota; Bacilli; Caryophanales; Caryophanaceae.
CUCCUUCUGAUUCAGCGGCGGACGGGUGAGUAACACGUGGGCAACCUGCCCUGUAGAUUGGGAUAACUCCGGGAAACCGGGGCUAAUACCGAAUAAUCCUUCGGACCUCAUGGUCCGAUGUUGAAAGACGGUUUCUCCUGUCCCUUCCGGAUGGGCCCCCCGCCCAAUUACUUAUUUGGGAAGUAACGGCUCCCCCAGGGCAACAUUCCUAACCCAACUGAGAGGGUGAUCGGCCCCCCUGGGACUGAAACCCCGCCCAAAAUCCUACGGGAAGGAGCAGUAAGGAAUCUUCCACAAUGGAACAAAGUCUUAUGGAACCACCCCCCCGGAAUGAAGAAGGGUCUUCGAUCCUAAAACUUUGUUGUGAAGGAAGAACCAGUACCGGAAUAACUGGCGGUACCUUGGCCGUACCUUAUUAAAAAGCCACCGCUAACUACCUGGCAACCGCCCCCGUUAUUCCUAAGUUGCAAGCGUUGUCCGGAAUCCUUGGGCGUAAAGCGCGCGCAGCCGGCCCUUUAGUCUGAUGUGAAACCCACGGCUCACCGUGGAAGGUCAUGGAAACUGGGGGACUUGAGUGCAAAAAAGAAAGCGGAAUUCCAAGUGUACCGGUGAAAUGCGUAGAGAUUUGGAGGACACCAGUGGCGAAGCGGCUUUCUGGUCUGUACUGACGCUAAGCGCGAAGCGUGGGAGCAACAGGAUAAAUCCCUGGUAGUCCCCCCGUAACGAUGAUGCUAGUGUUAGGGGUUUCCC